GUUACCUUUAAUCCAGUCCUGUGAGGCUGGCAAGGUGGAACAGAUUAGGUCUGUUAAAAGGAUCAACCACUGGGAACAGUUACCCAGUGGCUCUAUUCUUUCGAUGCAAACACCUUGCCCAUCUUAAGGCAAGGUGUUUUUUUCUU
This 146-nucleotide small RNA is filed under the name Oceanobacillus picturae. RNAcentral describes it as "PyrR". It matches the Rfam family "PyrR binding site". From Rfam's summary of the family: This family represents the PyrR binding site and terminator structure. This RNA structure is found upstream of a variety of genes involved in pyrimidine biosynthesis and transport. The record is from RNAcentral. Lineage: Bacteria; Bacillati; Bacillota; Bacilli; Caryophanales; Bacillaceae.